Molecule: long non-coding RNA, 274 nt
Filed under: Nicotiana tabacum (common tobacco)
Lineage: Eukaryota; Viridiplantae; Streptophyta; Magnoliopsida; Solanales; Solanaceae
Description: long non-coding RNA (NTAB_LNC000612)
Source: RNAcentral
UUCAACCCCGCCUCCUCAUUCACCUCCUCCAUCCCCGGUUCCUUGUAUAGAACCCCCACCCCCACCUCCUCCUUGUAUAGAACCACCUCCAUCACCUCCCCCACCAGUUUAUUACUAUAAUUCUCCGCCUCCACCACCGCCUUCACCAUCACCUCCCCCACCGGUGUAUUAUAGUUCUCCGCCCCCACCAUCACCAUCACCUCCGCCACCGGCACUGCCCCCACCAUCACCUCCACCACCAGUUUAUUAUUAUAAUUCACCACCCCCGCCGUCU